Molecule: ribosomal RNA, 506 nt
Filed under: uncultured bacterium
Lineage: Bacteria
Description: partial 16S ribosomal RNA
Rfam family: Bacterial small subunit ribosomal RNA
Source: RNAcentral
AGUGAACGCUGGCGGUAGGCCUAACACAUGCAAGUCGAACGGCAGCACAGGAGAGCUUGCUCUCUGGGUGGCGAGUGGCGGACGGGUGAGGAAUACAUCGGAAUCUACUCUGUCGUGGGGGAGAACGUAGGGAAACUUACGCUAAUACCGCAUACGACCUACGGGUGAAAGCAGGGGAUCUUCGGACCUUGCGCGAUUGAAUGAGCCGAUGUCGGAUUAGCUAGUUGGCGGGGUAAAGGCCCAGCAAGGCGACGAUCCGUAGCUGGUCUGAGAGGAUGAUCAGCCACACUGGAACUGAGACACGGUCCAGACUCCUACGGGAGGCAGCAGUGGGGAAUAUUGGACAAUGGGCGCAAGCCUGAUCCAGCCAUACCGCGUGGGUGAAGAAGGCCUUCGGGUUGUAAAGCCCUUUUGUUGGGAAAGAAAUCCAGCUGGCUAAUACCCGGUUGGGAUGACGGUACCCAAAGAAUAAGCACCGGCUAACUUCGUGCCAGCAGCCGCCGUAA